CCUACGGGUGGCAGCAGUGGGGAAUAUUGGACAAUGGGGGCAACCCUGAUCCAGCCAUGCCGCGUGUGUGAAGAAGGCCCUCGGGUUGUAAAGCACUUUCAGUGAGGAAGAACGCCUGGUGGUUAAUACCCAUCAGGAAAGACAUCACUCACAGAAGAAGCACCGGCUAACUCCGUGCCAGCAGCCGCGGUAAUACGGAGGGUGCGAGCGUUAAUCGGAAUUACUGGGCGUAAAGCGCGCGUAGGUGGCUUGAUAAGCCGGUUGUGAAAGCCCCGGGCUCAACCUGGGAACGGCAUCCGGAACUGUCAAGCUAGAGUGCAGGAGAGGAAGGUAGAAUUCCCGGUGUAGCGGUGAAAUGCGUAGAGAUCGGGAGGAAUACCAGUGGCGAAGGCGGCCUUCUGGACUGACACUGACACCGAGGUGCGAAAGCGUGGGUAGCAAACAGGAUUAGAUACCCGUGUAGUC
Molecule: ribosomal RNA, 465 nt
Filed under: Vreelandella stevensii
Lineage: Bacteria; Pseudomonadati; Pseudomonadota; Gammaproteobacteria; Oceanospirillales; Halomonadaceae
Description: partial 16S ribosomal RNA
Rfam family: Bacterial small subunit ribosomal RNA
Source: RNAcentral